RNAcentral lists this ribosomal RNA (796 nucleotides) under uncultured Sphingomonas sp. RNAcentral describes it as "bacterial SSU rRNA". It matches the Rfam family "Bacterial small subunit ribosomal RNA", at positions 123 to 953 of the family's 1533-position model. Lineage: Bacteria; Pseudomonadati; Pseudomonadota; Alphaproteobacteria; Sphingomonadales; Sphingomonadaceae. The record is from RNAcentral.
AAUCUGCCCUUGGGUUCGGAAUAACAGAGAGAAAUUUCUGCUAAUACCGGAUGAUGACGUAAGUCCAAAGAUUUAUCGCCCAAGGAUGAGCCCGCGUAGGAUUAGCUAGUUGGUGAGGUAAAGGCUCACCAAGGCGACGAUCCUUAGCUGGUCUGAGAGGAUGAUCAGCCACACUGGGACUGAGACACGGCCCAGACUCCUACGGGAGGCAGCAGUGGGGAAUAUUGGACAAUGGGCGAAAGCCUGAUCCAGCAAUGCCGCGUGAGUGAUGAAGGCCUUAGGGUUGUAAAGCUCUUUUACCCGGGAUGAUAAUGACAGUACCGGGAGAAUAAGCUCCGGCUAACUCCGUGCCAGCAGCCGCGGUAAUACGGAGGGAGCUAGCGUUAUUCGGAAUUACUGGGCGUAAAGCGCACGUAGGCGGCUUUGUAAGUUAGAGGUGAAAGCCUGGAGCUCAACUCCAGAAUUGCCUUUAAGACUGCAUCGCUUGAAUCCAGGAGAGGUGAGUGGAAUUCCGAGUGUAGAGGUGAAAUUCGUAGAUAUUCGGAAGAACACCAGUGGCGAAGGCGGCCCACUGGACUGGUAUUGACGCUGAGGUGCGAAAGCGUGGGGGGCAAACAGGAUUAGAUACCCUGGUAGUCCACGCCGUAAACGAUGAUAACUAGCUGUCGGGGCUCUUAGAGCUUCGGUGGCGCAGCUAACGCAUUAAGUUAUCCGCCUGGGGAGUACGGCCGCAAGGUUAAAACUCAAAUGAAUUGACGGGGGCCUGCACAAGCGGUGGAGCAUGUGGUUUAAUUCG